Molecule: long non-coding RNA, 1127 nt
Organism: Helianthus annuus (common sunflower)
Lineage: Eukaryota; Viridiplantae; Streptophyta; Magnoliopsida; Asterales; Asteraceae
Exons: 6
Source: RefSeq, a predicted model, not a curated record
UUUAAUCCCUCCUUCUCGCUCCCCUACGUCAAGCCAUAGGCUUUUGCAGAAAUAAAAACCCUAAUUCUUUAUCCUUCCACGAGAACCCUUCCUUUCCUCCCCCUCUCUAUCCUCCCACGGUAUUCUGUUGUUGAAGAUGUCGGCUCCGGCACUGGCAGGCGGUUCCCUCUGGCGGCUCAUCCGGAGAUGAUGAGAGCGGCGCACUCACACUUUAUUGGUGAUUGAAGUUGCAUUUGGUGCCACGGUAUGUUCAGAUGGCGUAUGGACAAAAGGGAUGUGGUAAGAAAUACGUUCAUCAUGCAAAAGAAGAGAAGUAUGAAAUAUAUCCUGAAAUCAAAGAAUUCCCUGAUGUUAAUCUCAAACAAAAAGAAGAUUUCAGUAAAUUAAUAUGAUGGGGUGAUUGCAAAAGUUUGGGUUUCAUCUCCUUAUUAUUUGGAGGCUGCGGGUCAAGAUUCUGAAAGCUAAGAAACUUGGGCGUGAAUUAUCGGCUCAUGAAGCGUGGAAGCAAUCACACUGCAAGAAACGAAGUCGACCAUUGGAUAAAGAUCUAAGUUGUAGCAGUCACUACUUUUGGACGUUGAUUCGGAAGGGAACACUCAAGAAGAAAAUCUUGUAUGGGUUGAUGCUAGGGCAGAUGAGACUUGGGUUAAAUAUGAAGGGUUUCUUGUGGAGAAGUAUGGGAAAGAACGUAAUAAACAUCCAAAAUUUGACUGACUUGUGGUCACAAGAUGAGGGCAAGAAUAAAAGAUAAGUGCACGGGUUAUGUAAUGUUAGUGACCCUUGUGUACAUAGCAGAGAAGACCCUAAGAUUGAAAAGUUGAACUUAGUUAUCAAGGAGCUCGUUAAGGAAAAAGAUGAAGAAAAAUAAAGGUUCAAUGGAAUUAUUGCGGGGUUGUUGGCUGAAAAAGAAAAAGAUAAGGUGGAUAAAGAUGUUGUGCUUGAUAGGAUGUCACAAAUUAAAGCUAUGUUAACAGCUUCAGUUCGAAGAUAUGCUAUAAACACUUGGUAUUGAAUGUUUAGAUGUUUAUCUUAUUAGGAUGAUUUUAGUUAUUUUAUGUUUUAGUUGGUAUUUAUUAUAUGCUUUUGAAAACGAUAUGUUGUAUAUAAUUUUUGGAUUUUUGGAUUUU